AUCCUAUCUCGCUACUGCCUUUUGCAUCCAAGAUCCUUGAAAAAAUUGUGUAUGCGAGAUUGACAGACUUCCUCGAGUCCAACUCUCUGCUAGACCCGCUUCAGUCUGGUUUCCGCGCUAAGCACUCUGUGGAAACAGCACUGACCAAAGUAUCCAAUGAUCUACUCGCUGCAAAAUCUCGUGGUCACUACUCUAUCCUAAUUCUCCUUGACCUGUCUGCGG
Molecule: non-coding RNA, 222 nt
Organism: Pelobates cultripes (western spadefoot toad)
Lineage: Eukaryota; Metazoa; Chordata; Amphibia; Anura; Pelobatidae
Source: the annotation of a GenBank genome assembly